This 253-nucleotide ribosomal RNA is filed under the name uncultured bacterium. RNAcentral's name for it is "partial 16S ribosomal RNA". It matches the Rfam family "Bacterial small subunit ribosomal RNA", at positions 524 to 776 of the family's 1533-position model. The record is from RNAcentral.
UACGUACCGGACGAACGUUAUUCGGAAUCACUGGGCUUAAAGAGUGCGUAGGCGGCUCUGUAGGUGAGGUGUGAAAUCCCACGGCUCAACCGUGGAAUUGCGCUUCAAACCGCAGAGCUUGAGGAAGAUAGGGGUGAGCGGAACUGAUGGUGGAGCGGUGAAAUGCGUUGAUAUCAUCAGGAACACCUGUGGCGAAGGCGGCUCACUGGGUCUUUUCUGACGCUGAGGCACGAAAGCUAGGGGAGCGAACGGG